Molecule: ribosomal RNA, 290 nt
Filed under: uncultured bacterium
Lineage: Bacteria
Description: partial 16S ribosomal RNA
Rfam family: Bacterial small subunit ribosomal RNA
Source: RNAcentral
GUGGAUUAGAUACCCUGGUAGUCCACGCCGUAAACGAUGGGCACUAGGUGCUUGGGGGAGCGACCCCCUGGGUGCCGGCGCUAACGCAUGAAGUGCCCCGCCUGGGGAGUACGGCCGCAAGGCUGAAACUCAAAGGAAUUGACGGGGGCCCGCACAAGCGGUGGAGCAUGUGGUUUAAUUCGACGCAACGCGAAGAACCUUACCUAGGCUUGACAUGCAGGAGAAACGCUCCCGAAACGGGGCGCCCUCUUCGGAGUUCCUGCACAGGUGCUGCACGGCCGUCGCCAACU